Molecule: ribosomal RNA, 447 nt
Filed under: uncultured bacterium
Lineage: Bacteria
Description: bacterial SSU rRNA
Rfam family: Bacterial small subunit ribosomal RNA
Source: RNAcentral
UAGGGAAUCUUGCGCAAUGGACGAAAGUCUGACGCAGCAACGCCGCGUGUAGGAUGAAGCCUCUAGGGGUGUAAACUACUGUCAGCAGGGAAGAAAUUGACUGUACCUGCAGAGGAAGCACCGGCUAACUCCGUGCCAGCAGCCCCGGUAAGACGGAGGGUGCAAGCGUUGUCCGGAAUUAUUGGGCGUAAAGAGUUCGUAGGCGGUUAUUUAAGUCUGAUGUUAAAGCCCGAAGCUUAACUUCGGCAUGGCAUUGGAAACUGGAUGACUAGAGUGCGGUAGAGGUAUCGGGAAUUCCAGGUGUAGCGGUGAAAUGCGUAGAUAUCUGGAGGAACACCAGUGGCGAAAGCGCGAUACUGGGCCAUAACUGACGCUGAGGAACGAAAGCCAGGGUAGCAAAAGGGAUUAGAUACCCCCGUAGUCCCUGAGCGGGCUGGCAAGGCGCAU